Molecule: long non-coding RNA, 957 nt
Organism: Alexandromys fortis (reed vole)
Lineage: Eukaryota; Metazoa; Chordata; Mammalia; Rodentia; Cricetidae
Exons: 2
Source: RefSeq, a predicted model, not a curated record
UUAUAUGCCCUAGGCGUGAAACAGCUUUGGUCCCCAAGCUAGGCACCAAACUAGGAUGACCAAAGGACUGCCAUCUGCCCCACCUUGACUGAUAGAAGACACCACCACCAAGGGGGUCUCUUUGCCCAUUACCAGGGUGUGGAUGUGACAUUUUUUUUAAAUUUUAGAGUUCUUCCUAUUGUUUAUGGCUUUUCUUUUGUGUUUGCUUGUGUUUGUAGUAUAUUCACAUAUAUCUGUAUACAUGUUUACAUAGGUGUGGACACACUUGUGUGCAGAGACCCAUGUAUGUGUGUGCAUGGAGACACCAGAGGUUGAUGUCAGGUGUCCUCCUUGAUCCAUCUCCACCUUGUAUUUUAUGGUCUCCUUUGGAUCCAGAGCUCACCAACUGGGCUUCCAGCAGAAAGAAUGGCCCAGAUUAAAGGUGCGCCUUCCAGCCUCAAGAUCCAGAUCAAAGGCAUGUUGUCUUCCUGCCUCAAGAUCCUGGAUCACAAGUGUGCCCUGCAUUUCUGGACUGUAGUUCAUUCCAGAGACAGUCAAGCCAACAACCAGGAAGAGCUAUCGCAAUCACUUAUUGAGGAAGAGGAGGAGAGAGGAGGAAGGAGUCUUCGGUGACUGCCUGCAUGUUGGGCGGGGGCUCCAGGGAUGCAGCUUUUGUGGACCUUAUGAUGGCACAGCUGACUCUGAGUCUCCAUUUAUUUAAUCUGUCCACACUAUCUGGGUGAAUGGAUAUUUGUUUAUAGCCCCCCAAAAGUGCUGCAGCACCCACCACUCCUGGCUGGCUGCAUGACUUUAACAAGUUUGCUGUAAACAGAAUUUGUUUGGUUUGUUUAGACAGGAAACUGCCUGGCUUUUUUUUUGUUUCCUCAGUAAGGCUAGAGAGCCACCUCCGGCUCUUCCUCUCCUGUAUCCAGUUGACCUGCCCAGUCGGAGGCUAACAGAGAAGAUGCCACUCAUUUG